Molecule: small nucleolar RNA, 106 nt
Organism: Zingiber officinale
Lineage: Eukaryota; Viridiplantae; Streptophyta; Magnoliopsida; Zingiberales; Zingiberaceae
Source: RefSeq, a predicted model, not a curated record
AAACUAUGGUGAGGGCAUAAUCUGAGUAUGUCCUUGAAUUUGUCCCAAGCUUAGUAUAAAGAUUCCCCCUCAUUCUGUCUGAAGUCUGCUAUGAGAUUUCUCAACU